GAGCAAGAACAAUCAGAUUAGUGAUUUUUGAGUACCCAAAAGAAACUCUGUUUUCAAUUCUCAUGGCGGAUUCUAUUCCCUCUAAAAUGAAGGCUUGGGUUUAUAGUGAAUAUGGGAAACCUGAAUAUGUCUUAAGAUUUGACUCAGAAGUUGUGGUCCCUGAAGUGAAAGAAGAUCAGGUCCUGAUCAAGGUUGUGGCUGCUGCACUUAAUCCAGUUGAUGCUAAGAGAAUGGCUGGGUUCAUCAAAGCCGCUGACUCACCUCAACCUACUGUUCCAGGGUAUGAUGUUGCUGGUGUUGUGGUGAAAGUGGGAAACCAGGUCAACAAGUUUAAGAUAGGAGAUGAAGUGUAUGGUAACGUCAACGAGCUCCCUCUGAACCCGAAACAAUUUGGAACAUUAGCUGAAUACACUGCUGUUGAAGAGAAGCUACUGUCUCUUAAGCCCAAGAAACUCAAUUUUGCAGAAGCAUCUGGCAUACCCUUAGCCAUUGAGACUGCUUAUGAAGGCCUUGAAAAAGCAGGGUUCUCAGCUGGUAAAUCUAUUCUUGUCUUGGGAGGUGCUGGUGGAGUUGGAACCCUAACAAUUCAGGUAGCAAAGCAUGUGUUUGGUGCAUCUAGAAUAGCUGCAACUGCUAGCACUGGAAAAUUAGAGUUGUUGAAAAGCUUGGGAGUGGACUUAGCAAUAGAUUACACCAAGGAAAAAUAUGAACACCUCCCAGAGAAGUUUGAUGUAGUGUAUGAUGCUGUUGGGGAGUGUGACAGGGCAGUGAAGGCAGUGAAAGAUGGUGGGAGUGUAGUGGAAAUAGUAGGCUUAACAAAUCCUCCUCCUCCAGCAUUUUUAUUUUUGGAAACUUCAGAUGGGGCAGUGUUGGACAAAAUCAAUCCAUACUUGGAGUCUGGAAAGGUGAAGCCAGUUCUUGAUCCUAAAGGCCCAUUCCCAUUUUCACAAGCUAAGGAAGCAUUUUCCUACCUUGAAACUACAAGAGCUAUUGGAAAGGUGGUUGUGUAUCCCAUCCCAUGAGUAGGACAGAAAAAAAUAAAUUGCUCAUAAGUUACAAAUAUAAUAAUGUCUAUAUUCAGAGACAUCCC
RNAcentral lists this unclassified non-coding RNA (1090 nucleotides) under Hevea brasiliensis (rubber tree). The record is from RNAcentral. Lineage: Eukaryota; Viridiplantae; Streptophyta; Magnoliopsida; Malpighiales; Euphorbiaceae.